RNAcentral lists this ribosomal RNA (163 nucleotides) under uncultured bacterium. RNAcentral's name for it is "partial 16S rRNA". It matches the Rfam family "Bacterial small subunit ribosomal RNA", at positions 355 to 510 of the family's 1533-position model. The record is from RNAcentral.
UAGGGAAUCUUCCACAAUGGGCGAAAGCCUUGAUGGAGCAACGCCGCGUGUGUGAUGAAGGGUUUCGGCUCGUAAACACUGUUGUAAGAGAAGAAUGACAUUGAGAGUAACUGUUCAAUGUGUGACGGUAUCUUACCAGAAAGGAACGGCUAAAUACGUACCG